UAAAUAGUCACGCGGACUUUGGUUCGUGGCUGACUUCUUAGAGGGACUAUCGGCGAUUAGUCGAUGGAAGUUUGAGGCAAUAACAGGUCUGUGAUGCCCUUAGAUGUUCUGGGCUGCACGCGCGCUACACUGACGAAGCCAGCGAGUUUACAACCUUGGCCGGAAGGUCUG
This 171-nucleotide ribosomal RNA is filed under the name Physodermataceae sp. RNAcentral describes it as "partial small subunit ribosomal RNA". It matches the Rfam family "Eukaryotic small subunit ribosomal RNA", at positions 1352 to 1544 of the family's 1831-position model. Lineage: Eukaryota; Fungi; Blastocladiomycota; Physodermatomycetes; Physodermatales; Physodermataceae. The record is from RNAcentral.